GAUGAACGCUGGCGGCGUGCCUAAUACAUGCAAGUCGAGCGAACAGACGAGGAGCUUGCUCCUCUGACGUUAGCGGCGGACGGGUGAGUAACACGUGGAUAACCUACCUAUAAGACUGGGAUAACUUCGGGAAACCGGAGCUAAUACCGGAUAAUAUAUUGAACCGCAUGGUUCAAUAGUGAAAGACGGUUUUGCUGUCACUUAUAGAUGGAUCCGCGCCGCAUUAGCUAGUUGGUAAGGUAACGGCUUACCAAGGCAACGGUGCGUAGCCGACCUGAGAGGGUGGUCGGCCACACUGGAACUGAGACACGGUCCAGACUCCUACGGGAGGCAGCAGUAGGGAAUCUGCCGCAAUGGGCGAAAGCUUGACGGAGCAACGCCGCGUGAGUGAUGAAGGUCUUCGGAUCGUAAAACUCUGUUAUUAGGGAAGAACAAAUGUGUAAGUAACUAUGCACGUCUUGACGGUACCUAAUCAGAAAGCCACGGCUAACUACGUG
RNAcentral lists this ribosomal RNA (497 nucleotides) under uncultured bacterium. RNAcentral describes it as "partial 16S ribosomal RNA". It matches the Rfam family "Bacterial small subunit ribosomal RNA", at positions 28 to 507 of the family's 1533-position model. The record is from RNAcentral.